RNAcentral lists this ribosomal RNA (253 nucleotides) under uncultured bacterium. Its description in RNAcentral is "partial 16S ribosomal RNA". It matches the Rfam family "Bacterial small subunit ribosomal RNA", at positions 524 to 776 of the family's 1533-position model. The record is from RNAcentral.
UACGGAGGGUGCAAGCGUUAUCCGGAUUCACUGGGUUUAAAGGGUGCGUAGGCGGGUAAGUAAGUCCGUGGUGAAAUCUCUGAGCUUAACUCAGAAACUGCCGUGGAUACUAUUUGCCUUGAAUAUUGUGGAGGUGAGCGGCAUAUGUCAUGUAGCGGUGAAAUGCUUAGAUAUGACAUAGAACACCAAUUGCGAAGGCAGCUCACUACACAGUCAUUGACGCUGAGGCACGAAAGCGUGGGGAUCAAACAGG